GGAUAGAGGCCUACCAUGGUGGUAACGGGUAACGGGGUGUUAGGGCACGACACCGGAGAGGGAGCCUGAGAAACGGCUACCACAUCCAAGGAUGGCAGCAGGCGCGCAAAUUACCCAAUCCCGACACGGGGAGGUAGUGACAAUAAAUAACAAUACGGGGUUCUUUCGGAUCUCGUAAUUGGAAUGAGUACAAUUUAAAUCUCUUAACGAGGAACAAUUGGAGGGCAAGUCUGGUGCCAGCAGCCGCGGUAAUUCCAGCUCCAAUAGCGUAUAUUAAAGUUGUUGCAGUUAAAAAGCUCGUAGUUGAAUUUCGGGGUUAGUAGGUUGGUCAUGCCUCUGGUAUGUACUGGUCUCACUGAUUCCUCCUUCCUUAUGAACCGUAAUGCCAUUAAUUUGGUGUUGCGGGGAAUUUGGACUGUUACUUUGAAAAAAUUAGAGUGUUUAAAGCAAGCUAACGCUUGAAUACAUUAGCAUGGAAUAAUGAAAUAGGACGUUCGAUCUUAUUUUGUUGGUUUCUAGGAUUGACGUAAUGAUUAAUAGGGAUAGUUGGGGGCAUUAGUAUUCAAUUGUCAGAGGUGAAAUUCUUGGAUUUAUUGAAGACUAACUACUGCGAAAGCAUUUGCCAAGGAUGUUUUCAUUAAUCAAGAACGAAAGUUAGGGGAUCGAAGACGAUCAGAUACCGUCGUAGUCUUAACCAUAAACUAUGCCGACUAGG
This 715-nucleotide ribosomal RNA is filed under the name uncultured fungus. Its description in RNAcentral is "SSU rRNA". It matches the Rfam family "Eukaryotic small subunit ribosomal RNA", at positions 331 to 1050 of the family's 1831-position model. Lineage: Eukaryota; Fungi. The record is from RNAcentral.